Molecule: long non-coding RNA, 4947 nt
Filed under: Bemisia tabaci
Lineage: Eukaryota; Metazoa; Arthropoda; Insecta; Hemiptera; Aleyrodidae
Description: lncRNA ENSSWEETPG009759
Source: RNAcentral
AGCCUUAAAGAAAAGUGAAGGAAGAGCAAAAAAUAACCCUUUAUCUUAAUAUGUGUGAUACAAACACAAACCUAUUUUUAAUUGCCUGAGGAAAACAUGUUUUAAGUGGACAGACCCCACUUAAAAAAUGAGUAAAGAAGUAAAGUAUCAAUCCUUUCUUAAUUUUUUGCUGUUUUGCAUCCUCUUUUAGGGUUCAGCUUGUCCAGCUAAACUCUGAAAACAAAAUUUUGAAAUUGAAUCAAAAGAAGCCAGAAGACCAGAACUUGGCAGUGGUUCAAUCUCUUCUUGACGAUAAAACUCAAGCAUACAAUCGAUUGAAUCAAGAAAACAGAAGACUGAAUCAGCGCAUAAUGGAGCUUGAAUCUGAGAGGAAAGAAAUGAUAAAAUGGACGAAAACGAUGCUUCUGCCUUAAAAUUGAAGUUGACUGAGCUUCAAGAUAAGCAGCAUAGCAUGAAAGAAGAGCUUGAUGAGAAAGUCAGCAUCAUCAUGGAAAAAAAACAAAUCAUUUUCCAGCUUCAAGAAGCACUUUCCCAAAAAGAUGUAGAGCUUAAUGAACUUGGAGAGAAAUACAAGAAAUAUACAGAGAAAGCGAAAACUGUCAUGAAAAGUUUGGAUCCCAGGCCUCUAUCAAGCAUAGAAUUAAAUGAAAUCCGAAACAAUUAACUGAAAGUGAGAGGCUACUGGAAGAAAGAGAUAAAAAAAUUCUUCGCAUGGAAAGUGAAAUGAAUUUGAUGUCGACAGCAUAUCAUCACAUGGUAAUUUUUUUUUAUAAGUACAGUUUAUCUUAAGGUACGAAUCGCCAGAUGAGGUAUUUUCUACACUCCUGGAAAAAGUGUCACUGUCCAAUAGGUGGCAAGAUAUUAAAUUGGCAAAAGUUUUUCUUCCUUCCUCCUGGAAAGAAAAUAUUGCUAGCGGUGUGAUUCUUAAAUGGUGCAUCCACUCGAGCAAAUUCUCUGAAUUCCCCUCCCUCUGUUUUUCAAAUCAAAAUUUAAUCAAACACUCUGUUCAUUUAAAUAAAAAAGGAAUACUAGUCACCCAAAAAGAAUGGACCCUAGACAAGGUACGAAUUUCAGCAUUCUGAUACAUGUGUCUUGACCAAAAUUUCACGUAAAACAUGAUGCGCACAACGAAAAUUAACGAAAUCAACUCCUCCCGAAGAUAUUUAAUGAUUCUUGGUGCGUGAAUUAGAACCGCCUGCUCAUGAAAACUCAAUGCUCUACAAGAUUCACAUCGCGCGCUAAAUGUUAUCAUGAACGUCUCUGCAAUAAAAAAAAAACCUGGCACCUCAAUCUUGACGCUUUGGUUCAGCUAUAGCAAAUUACUUAUGGUUUGAAAACACAUGGUGAGAAACGAACAUUGCUCGAUUGAUAAGCUUGCUGAAACCGUUGUAUUGCGGGAUUUGACUCACGUAGAGCUUUGAGUUUCUUGGGAGCAGGCAGUUCAAAUUCCUCGUUACCAAUGUGAAUAAAAACGUUAACAUCUUCGUAAAGAGUUGGUUUCAGUAAUUUUCGUUGCCCCAAUCGUGUUCCUACUGAAACUCUGGUUAAGAUACAUGUAUCAGAAUGCUUAAAUUCGUAACUUGUCUAGUGGUCCAUUCAGCGGUUUUAAGCAAUGUAAGCAGCUCGAUGGAAGGUAAGCUAAAGCAGAAUUUAGUUGGAACUUGGGCUGCUAAAGUGCUGGAAACACCGCAAAUGACAGUGCUGCACUUGUAGACUCGAUGGUGCAUCUUGUACGCUGCUUACCUGGACACACUCAUUGCCCAACUUACCGCUAUCCCUUCAUGUAAUAAAAUUUUGAUUGAAAUAAGAGCAUUGAGACCAGGAGUAGUCCUCUUCAGAAAGACAAUAGCAAUUUCUGAAAUUGUUUUUACUGCCUGUAUCGUUUCCUUUCAAUUAUUUAUUUUCUUUUGCAUCCCAGCAUUUUUGACUCAUGAUCGGGGAAAAUUUAAAAUCAAAAGGAAAAGAACAGUUAAUUCUAUGGUGUGCUCGUUUUGAGUCAUUUUAAUUUGAUUUUUAGAAAUUCCGCAAAUUUUGGAAUCCGCAAACUCUGUCUCAUAAUUUUCCUCCGCUGUUUCUAUGUAUUACUUACUACUCUAACUCUUACAGCUACUCCAGUAUACCGUAUUUACGUAUUAACACAAUGUAGGGCACAGGCAUCUGCUCCAGUGAUAUUUCCUUUCAUCUAAAAAUGAAUCCUCCCCCCUCCCCCCCCCCCCGUUUUCCCCCUUUAUAUCGUCAAUUUUCUUUGUUUUGCUCCAUGAAGACUCUGACUCACCUUAAAAACAAAGUAUUUCAUCCUUAAGUCAUAAAUUGACUUUUCAAAAGAAGUUGAAAAAUUAUGUAUGCCAAAAAACACUUUUUUUAAACUUCUGUUAUUUAUUGGCAAUCAACAAAAAAAGUCUGAGAAGAUCUCACCUGUGUCACGAAUAUGUUCAGUAAAUUCAUGAAAUGAAAUUGAUAGCAUCUGAUGACCGUUUUAUGCAAGCUAAUCUUCAUUAUGAGACUCUGGACCUGCAUAUGUUAAAAUUCUAUUUUGAGUUUUCUGGAGUUAGCCGUUUUAGUUGUUUUAGUGCACCUAAAAAAGAAGAAAAAAAGAAAAAGAAAAAAAUGAAGAAAAAAUGAGAAACUUAAUACAGUCAGUGUAAUCCACACUGUGCCUGUAACAAUAUUUCCUUUUUCAUUGUACGAGGUCAAAUGAAUUCAAAGUAUUUUAUUUUUUGUAUUUCAGAUGCAAUCAAGACAGCGUGAAAAUGUUGAGCAACGCACAGCGUACUGGAACAGUAAUCCAUCCUCAUUUUUGAGUCGCAUGCGAACUCCAUCAGGACGAAGGAACAUUCAACCCUUGAACUCCAACUGAAACUCAUCGAGCAAUAAUUACUAGAGCAUUGAAUCUCACCUUUCUCUUCUUGCCUGUGCCCUAACAUAGUUGGAAAUGUGUCAAUUAUAUUACAUGUCCAUUGCUGUGAACUAUUUGUCUCUUGUCAAGUGUUUCGUAGCUCAAUUCAGUUUUCAUUGAGCAUCUAUGGUGUAAAAAUGUGAGCAAAUUCUUGCUGUUGCAAGCCAAGGUUCACGAUUAUAAUUUAUUAAGCUUUUAAGUAGUUUGUUAAAUAAUCUCUAUUUGUUACAUUUACCCAUGUUAAAAUAAUGUCUUUCAUGUUUCAUGCCGUUAAAGAAGUUAUCUAGCGGCGGCUGGACUGGCGUGCUAAGCUAAUAUUGAUUUCAUUAUUGAAUGAUGUCUGAUAAUUGAUUCUCACGGUUUAACAUUUUAAAUCGCAUGGUGGGCUUUCUCCUCAUUUCUUCUAACUUUAGAGAGUGGAAGAAGUCGAUCGCGCAAUCAAGUAACUAACCAGAAAAUCAUGGAAAGAAGAUAAUUGUAGAAGAAACUUACCCUAGCAUUAGCAAUUUUCAAUCGUUCCUCGUUUUUAGGAAAAAAUCCACAUUGCAAUUUUAAAAUUCACAAUUGUUAUUUUUUUUUUUUCAAGACAGGAAUUGUUAUACUUGAUAUACAAUUGUCCUCAAAUCACAAUUUUAGUCACAACUGAUUGUGAGAGCCAUCAAUACUUAGUAAGUAAUGUAUUACAAACUGUUACUGUAAACCAAAUGUCUAGUUGAACUUUCUUUGUUUUCUGAGGUAUUUUCAUAAGUAAGAAAACAUAGAAAGUGACUAAUGAAUUAGCAUAUUAUAUUUAUAUUAUUUAAUUGUAUGUUUGUACAAAGUAUUUACCAAAACUAAGACGUUUCAUAAAAAGAACUUAAACCAAAGCAUUGUGGCCUUUUUUUUUUUUAAGUAAUCAAAAUUUCCAACCACUGAUUUCAACAUUGGUCUGAAAAGUUUACUGAACGUCAAUAUGAAAAUUGUAUAAUAAAUAUUUCAAGAUGAGUCAUGAGUCUGGUUCUUUGUGAUAAUGAAGUGCUCUGUGGUUCAGUCAAAAACUUCGUUUGUAAGUUUAUAUAGCAGUUUUGAAUAUUUAAGUUCUCUUCUUACAACUGUGCUAAGUUUUCCACCCUCGGUAAACCUUAAUGUGCAACUGCAUUUACAUGCAGUUAUGAAGUGCCCCGGCAAAUUACAGAAUAUUAUAGAAACUGCAGAUGUCAGAACCAAUGACAUAUUUCUUAACUUGGUUUUUUUUUUGCUAUUCAAGCUUUCAAAGUGUCAUUGAUUCCAGGUGCAAGGGGGCAAAUGGUUGUCAGCCAAAAUGGUAAAUCUGACCCUUUUUCACAGUAAAAAAAGACCCUCCGCAGGAGAGCUUUUUUACCAUCAAGUUUUCUCUCUUCUAUCUGUUGUUAGCACAUAGUGGAAGCAUUUCGUAGGUUCAUUGUCUCAAUGUAUUUGUUUACUAUGUGCUGCUAUUUAUGCAUAUUGUAAAAUAUUAUUUGUGCUCAAAGAGACUGAUUAAAAAUUUCUCUGAAAGUGUUACAUCAAGAAAGCAAGAUUAUACUAACUUUUUGGCUUCGCUUGAUAGUUUAAAUUUUAUAACGAGGGAGUAGGAAUGCCGCUGUCACUUUCUUACAACAUUUUAACUCUUAAACGUUUAAGAGGAUUUUUUACAACUAGAAUAUUUGCAUUACUAUUAUAAUGAGAAGCAGAUGUAUUGUCUCCAUACACUUGACCAAAAAAAAUCAUAUCAGAUCUUUUUAAUUAGUUUACUUACGCAAUCAGCAAAUGCCCCUGUAUACUAAUCAUCUACCGUUCUUACCCUUUUGUAUUAACUUCUUUGAUCUGAUUUAAUUAUAUCGUUUUAAUUUAAUGUUUAUAGCGGUAGAAACAUUUUCCUCUGGUACCAUUAGUCUCUUGUUCCGUCGAUCUUUAUUUAUUUGUAAAUCACAAGGUCUCUAAUGAUGUAAUUGUUCUCUAACACUUUUCUGGAAAAUUUAGUUUACUUUCAAUGUGCCUUAGACUGUUGAUAAUUGCCGUCUCUUAGCCACAUGUUCGCUCAUGAUACCUGC